AGUGAACGCUGGCGGUAGGCCUAACACAUGCAAGUCGAACGGCAGCACAGUAAGAGCUUGCUCUUACGGGUGGCGAGUGGCGGACGGGUGAGGAAUACAUCGGAAUCUACUUUUUCGUGGGGGAUAACGUAGGGAAACUUACGCUAAUACCGCAUACGACCUACGGGUGAAAGCAGGGGAUCUUCGGACCUUGCGCGAUUGAAUGAGCCGAUGUCGGAUUAGCUAGUUGGCGGGGUAAAGGCCCACCAAGGCGACGAUCUGUAGCUGGUCUGAGAGGAUGAUCAGCCACACUGGAACGGAGACACGGUCCAGACUCCUACGGGAGGCAGCAGUGGGGAAUAUUGGACAAAGGGCGCAAGCCUGAUCCAGCCAUACCGCGUGGGUGAAGAAGGCCUUCGGGUUGUAAAGCCCUUUUGUUGGGAAAGAAAAGCAGCAGGUUAAUACCCCGCUGUUCUGACGGUACCCAAAGAAUAAGCAUCGGCUAACUUCGUG
This 492-nucleotide ribosomal RNA is filed under the name uncultured bacterium. RNAcentral's name for it is "partial 16S ribosomal RNA". It matches the Rfam family "Bacterial small subunit ribosomal RNA", at positions 29 to 507 of the family's 1533-position model. The record is from RNAcentral.